This 606-nucleotide ribosomal RNA is filed under the name Streptomyces violaceolatus. RNAcentral's name for it is "bacterial SSU rRNA". It matches the Rfam family "Bacterial small subunit ribosomal RNA", at positions 75 to 696 of the family's 1533-position model. Lineage: Bacteria; Bacillati; Actinomycetota; Actinomycetes; Kitasatosporales; Streptomycetaceae. The record is from RNAcentral.
CCACUUCGGUGGGGAUUAGUGGCGAACGGGUGAGUAACACGUGGGCAAUCUGCCCUUCACUCUGGGACAAGCCCUGGAAACGGGGUCUAAUACCGGAUACUGACCCUUGCAGGCAUCUGCGAGGUUCGAAAGCUCCGGCGGUGAAGGAUGAGCCCGCGGCCUAUCAGCUUGUUGGUGAGGUAAUGGCUCACCAAGGCGACGACGGGUAGCCGGCCUGAGAGGGCGACCGGCCACACUGGGACUGAGACACGGCCCAGACUCCUACGGGAGGCAGCAGUGGGGAAUAUUGCACAAUGGGCGAAAGCCUGAUGCAGCGACGCCGCGUGAGGGAUGACGGCCUUCGGGUUGUAAACCUCUUUCAGCAGGGAAGAAGCGAAAGUGACGGUACCUGCAGAAGAAGCGCCGGCUAACUACGUGCCAGCAGCCGCGGUAAUACGUAGGGCGCAAGCGUUGUCCGGAAUUAUUGGGCGUAAAGAGCUCGUAGGCGGCUUGUCACGUCGGUUGUGAAAGCCCGGGGCUUAACCCCGGGUCUGCAGUCGAUACGGGCAGGCUAGAGUUCGGUAGGGGAGAUCGGAAUUCCUGGUGUAGCGGUGAAAUGCGCAGAUA